CACUUGCCCAUUAAUUGUGGGGUAGAAUGAACGGAUAAACGAAAUAGAAUCUGUCUCUACAAAUACUAUAAAAAUUAAUCUCUAAUUGAAGACAAUUAGAUAAAAUCGAAGGACAAGAAGACCCUAUAGAGCUUCAUUUUAAUUGAAGAAAUUUCAAAAUAAAAUUCGGUUGGGGCGACCAAGGACAUUAUAAAUCAUCCUUAAAAUAAGAUCAAUAAAUCAAAACAAUGACCCUUAUUAAAGAUCAUAAAAUCAAGCUACCUUAGGGAUAACAGGCUAAUCCUACUAAAGAGUCCUUAUCAAAAGUGG
Molecule: ribosomal RNA, 309 nt
Filed under: Criodrilus lacuum
Lineage: Eukaryota; Metazoa; Annelida; Clitellata; Crassiclitellata; Almidae
Description: partial 16S ribosomal RNA
Rfam family: Bacterial large subunit ribosomal RNA
Source: RNAcentral